AUUGAACGCUGGCGGCAGGCUUAACACAUGCAAGUCGAGCGGAGAUGAGGUGCUUGCACCUUAUCUUAGCGGCGGACGGGUGAGUAAUGCUUAGGAAUCUGCCUAUUAGUGGGGGACAACAUUCGAAAGGAAUGCUAAUACCGCAUACGUCCUACGGGAGAAAGCAGGGGAUCUUCGGACCUUGCGCUAAUAGAUGAGCCUAAGUCGGAUUAGCUAGUUGGUGGGGUAAAGGCCUACCAAGGCGACGAUGUGUAGCGGGUCUGAGAGGAUGAGCCGCCACACUGGCGCUGAGACACGGCGCAGACUCCUGCGGGAGGCAGGAGUGGGGAAUAUUGGAGAAUGGGGGGAACCCUGAUCCAGCCAUGCCGCGUGUGUGAAGAAGGCCUUAUGGUUGUAAAGCACUUUAAGCGAGGAGGAGGCUACUGAGACUAAUACUCUUGGAUAGUGGACGUUACUCGCAGAAUAAGCACCGGCUAACUCUGUGCCAGCCGCCGCCGUAA
RNAcentral lists this ribosomal RNA (500 nucleotides) under uncultured bacterium. RNAcentral describes it as "partial 16S ribosomal RNA". It matches the Rfam family "Bacterial small subunit ribosomal RNA", at positions 30 to 523 of the family's 1533-position model. The record is from RNAcentral.